This is a long non-coding RNA of Eurytemora carolleeae, 213 nucleotides long. RefSeq lists it as uncharacterized. Lineage: Eukaryota; Metazoa; Arthropoda; Copepoda; Calanoida; Temoridae. The record is from RefSeq and is a predicted model, not a curated record. The transcript is spliced from 4 exons.
UUUAAAACUUUACUGCUAAACUCAGAAAAAAAUAUAAGGUAUGAUUCUUUCGAUUGUAUCUAUUCUUUUUGCUGGAUAUCUUGCCUCCUGUAGCAGGGGAUCUGCUUCUGCAGAAACAACUGCUGUACUUCUAGGGGGUGGCUAUGGUGGGAAAACUGAAUCAUAUCCCUGUGAUGUGGCAAUAGGAGAUAUUGGUUAUCUGGUAGGACUAGG